Molecule: ribosomal RNA, 468 nt
Filed under: uncultured bacterium
Lineage: Bacteria
Description: partial 16S ribosomal RNA
Rfam family: Bacterial small subunit ribosomal RNA
Source: RNAcentral
GACGAACGCUGGCGGCGUGCUUAACACAUGCAAGUCGAACGGAAAGGCCCUGCUUUUGUGGGGUGCUCGAGUGGCGAACGGGUGAGUAACACGUGAGUAACCUGCCCUUGACUUUGGGAUAACUUCAGGAAACUGGGGCUAAUAUCGGAUAGGAGCUCCUGCUGCAUGGUGGGGGUUGGAAAGUUUCGGCGGUUGGGGAUGGACUCGCGGCUUAUCAGCUUGUUGGUGGGGUAGUGGCUUACCAAGGCUUUGACGGGUAGCCGGCCUGAGAGGGUGGCCGGCCACAUUGGGACUGAGAUACGGCCCAGACUCCUACGGGAGGCAGCAGUGGGGAAUAUUGCACAGUGGGCGGACGCCUGAUGCAGCAACGCCGCGUGCGGGAUGACGGCCUUCGGGUUGUAAACCGCUUUCGCCUGUGACGAAGCGUGAGUGACGGUAAUGGGUAAAGAAGCACCGGCUAACUACGUG